This 500-nucleotide ribosomal RNA is filed under the name uncultured bacterium. RNAcentral describes it as "bacterial SSU rRNA". It matches the Rfam family "Bacterial small subunit ribosomal RNA", at positions 30 to 523 of the family's 1533-position model. The record is from RNAcentral.
AUUGAACGCUGGCGGCAUGCCUUACACAUGCAAGUCGAACGGCAGCGCGGGGGCAACCUGGCGGCGAGUGGCGAACGGGUGAGUAAUAUAUCGGAACGUACCCUGGAGUGGGGGAUAACGUAGCGAAAGUUACGCUAAUACCGCAUACGAUCUAAGGAUGAAAGCAGGGGACCGCAAGGCCUUGUGCUCCAGGAGCGGCCGAUAUCUGAUUAGCUAGUUGGUGGGGUAAAGGCCUACCAAGGCAUCGAUCAGUAGCUGGUCUGAGAGGACGACCAGCCACACUGGAACUGAGACACGGUCCAGACUCCUACGGGAGGCAGCAGUGGGGAAUUUUGGACAAUGGGCGCAAGCCUGAUCCAGCAAUGCCGCGUGAGUGAAGAAGGCCUUCGGGUUGUAAGCUCUUUUGUUCAGGGAAGAAACGGUUAGUGGCUAAUAUCCAUGGCUAAUGACGGUACCUGAAGAAUAAGCACCGGCUAACUACGUGCCAGCAGCCGCGGUAA